This 434-nucleotide ribosomal RNA is filed under the name uncultured bacterium. RNAcentral's name for it is "bacterial SSU rRNA". It matches the Rfam family "Bacterial small subunit ribosomal RNA", at positions 355 to 787 of the family's 1533-position model. The record is from RNAcentral.
UGAGGAAUAUUGGUCAAUGGGCGGGAGCCUGAACCAGCCAAGCCGCGUGAGGGAGGAAGGCCCUAUGGGUCGUAAACCUCUUUUGUCAGGGAACAAAAGCGAGUAUGUAUACUAGUCUGAGUGUACCUGAAGAAAAAGCAUCGGCUAACUCCGUGCCAGCAGCCGCGGUAAUACGGAGGAUGCGAGCGUUAUCCGGAUUUAUUGGGUUUAAAGGGUGCGUAGGCGGCGGUGCAAGUCAGCGGUAAAAGCCCGGGGCUCAACCCCGGCGAGCCGUUGAAACUGCAGUGCUAGAGAAGGCGAGAGGUACGCGGAAUGCGCAGUGUAGCGGUGAAACGCUUAGAUAUUGCGCAGAACUCCGAUUGCGAAGGCAGCGUACUGGCGCCUGACUGACGCUGAGGCACGAAAGCGUGGGGAUCGAACAGGAUUAGAUACCC